Molecule: ribosomal RNA, 261 nt
Filed under: uncultured bacterium
Lineage: Bacteria
Description: partial 16S ribosomal RNA
Rfam family: Bacterial small subunit ribosomal RNA
Source: RNAcentral
CAAAGAGAAGCGAAGCGGUGACGUGGAGCAAACCUCAGAAAGCCAAUCUCAGUUCGGAUUGUAGGCUGCAACUCGCCUACAUGAAGUUGGAAUCGCUAGUAAUCGCGAAUCAGAAUGUCGCGGUGAAUACGUUCCCGGGUCUUGUACACACCGCCCGUCACACCAUGAGAGCCGGGGGGACCCGAAGUCGGUAGUUUAACCGCAAGGAGGACGCCGCCGAAGGUAAAACUGGUGAUUGGGGUGAAGUCGUAACAAGGUAUC